This 257-nucleotide ribosomal RNA is filed under the name uncultured bacterium. RNAcentral's name for it is "partial small subunit ribosomal RNA". It matches the Rfam family "Bacterial small subunit ribosomal RNA", at positions 26 to 285 of the family's 1533-position model. The record is from RNAcentral.
AGGACGAACGCUGGCGGCGUGCUUAACACAUGCAAGUCGAGCGGAAAGGCCCUUCGGGGUACUCGAGCGGCGAACGGGUGAGUAACACGUGAGUAACCUGCCCCUAGCUCUGGGAUAGCUCCGGGAAACCGGGAUUAAAUACCAGAUACGACCACUUUAGACAUCUGUCGUGGUGGAAAGGAUUCCGGCUAGGGAUGGGCUACGCGGGCCUAUCAGCUUGUUGGUGGGGUAACGGCCCACCAAGGCGACGACGGGUA